GUGGGGAAUAUUCCGCAAUGGACGAAAGUCUGACGGAGCAACGCCGCGUGAGUGAUGAAGGUUUUCGGACUGUAAAGCUCUGUUGUUUAGGACGAAAGUGCCUGUUGCAAAUAGUUACAGGUAUUGACGGUACUGAACGAGGAAGCCACGGCUAACUACGUGCCAGCAGCCGCGGUAAUACGUAGGUGGCAAGCGUUGUCCGGAAUUAUUGGGCGUAAAGAGCAUGUAGGCGGGAAUCUAAGUCUGUUGUGAAAAUGCGGGGCUCAACCCCGUAUUGCGAUGGAAACUGGAUUUCGUGAGUGCAGGAGAGGAAAGGGGAAUUCCCAGUGUAGCGGUGAAAUGCGUAGAUAUUGGGAGGAACACCAGUGGCGAAGGCGCCUUUCUGGACUGUGUCUGACGCUGAGAUGCGAAAGCCAGGGUAGCGAACGGGAUUAGAAACCCGAGUAGUCC
RNAcentral lists this ribosomal RNA (450 nucleotides) under uncultured bacterium. RNAcentral's name for it is "partial 16S ribosomal RNA". It matches the Rfam family "Bacterial small subunit ribosomal RNA", at positions 354 to 796 of the family's 1533-position model. The record is from RNAcentral.